RNAcentral lists this ribosomal RNA (142 nucleotides) under uncultured eukaryote. RNAcentral's name for it is "partial 18S ribosomal RNA". It matches the Rfam family "Eukaryotic small subunit ribosomal RNA", at positions 1299 to 1458 of the family's 1831-position model. The record is from RNAcentral.
UGGUGGGUUGCCUUGUCAGGUUGAUUCCGGUAACGAACGAGACCUCAGCCUGCUAAAUAGUCAGCAUCGUCUUUACGGGCGGUGUUCAGGCUUCUUAGAGGGACUAUUGGCGUUUAGUCAAUGGAAGUAUGAGGCGAUAACA